GAUUGGUUUUGGCCGGGAGCUUGAAUUCUUGCUUCAGUUGGACAUUCAAGUUUAUGGGGCCAAGAGAGCUACAAUCUUGGAUGUCGACUGUGGCAGUGAGUCCAAUUGACUUGCAUGGGAGCGUAAGUUGAAAUAUCAAACAGAAAGGAAAUUCUUUUUGUCUUGAAAUGCAAUAUUUUCAUGGAGUUCAGAGUUGCAGGGUCUUCAGGU
Molecule: long non-coding RNA, 210 nt
Organism: Eucalyptus grandis
Lineage: Eukaryota; Viridiplantae; Streptophyta; Magnoliopsida; Myrtales; Myrtaceae
Exons: 3
Source: RefSeq, a predicted model, not a curated record